AAGCUGCGAUAAGCCGCGGGGAGUUGCAAAUAAACAUUGAUCCGCGGAUUUCUGAAUGGGGAAACCCACACGGAGUCAUGUCCGUGUAACAUACACUGAAUUCAUAGGUGUAUGUAGGGAACUGCCUGAACUGAAACAUCUAAGUAGGGCAAGGAAGAGAAAUCAACCGAGAUUCCGCUAGUAGUGGCGAGCGAACGCGGAAGAGGCCAAACCAGCGGUAGAAAUACCGUUGGGGUUACGGACUAGUACAAGUAUCGCAGAGUCUAGCUGAAGUGUGUGGGAAAGCACGCCGAAGAAUGUGAGAGCCAUGUAAGCGAAAGACGAAGCGAGCGACUAGAAUCCAGAGUACGGCUGGGCACGUGAAACCCGGUCGGAAGUCGGGGGGACCACCCUCCAAGCCUAAAUACUACCCAGUGACCGAUAGCGUAUAGUACUGUGAAGGAAAGGUGAAAAGAACCCCGGGAGGGGAGUGAAAUAGAACCUGAAACCGCAUGCAUACAAACAGUAGGAGCCUCACCAGAGGUGACUGCGUACCUUUUGCAUAAUGGGUCAGCGACUUACAUUCUGUGGCGAGCUUAACCGAAUAGGGGAGGCGCAGCGAAAGCGAGUUCGAAAUGAGCGUCCAGUCGCAGGGUGUAGACCCGAAACCAGAUGAGCUAUCCAUGGCCAGGUUGAAGGUGUGGUAACACACACUGGAGGACCGAACCGACUAGUGUUGCAAAAUUAGCGGAUGAGCUGUGGAUAGGGGUGAAAGGCCAAACAAAUCUGGAGAUAGCUGGUUCUCCCCGAAAACUAUUGAGGUAGUGCCUCGUGUGUCGCUCCAGGGGGUAGAGCACUGUUUUGGCUAGGGGGACAUGGAGUCUUACCAAACCAAGGCAAACUCCGAAUACCUGGAAGCGUGAGCACGGGAGACAGAGCACCGGGUGCUAACGUCCGGACUCAAAAGGGAAACAACCCAGACCGCCGGCUAAGGUCCCCAAUAACAGCUAAGUGGAAAACGAAGUGGAAAGGCCGUGACAACCAGGAAGUUGGCUUAGAAGCAGCCAUCCUUCAAAGAAAGCGUAAUAGCUCACUGGUCGAGUCCUUCUGCGCGGAAGAUGUAACGGGGCUAAGCUGUUAACCGAAGCCGCGGAUGCACUGAUUAUUCAGUGCGUGGUAGGGGAGCGUUCUGUAAGUCUGCGAAGGCGGUUCGAGAGGACUGCUGGAGAUAUCAGAAGUGCGAAUGCUGACAUGAGUAACGUUAAAGCAGGUGAAAAGCCUGCUCGCCGUAAGCCCAAGGAUUCCUGCUCUACGUUCAUCGGAGCAGGGUGAGUCGGCUCCUAAGGUCAGGCCGAAAGGCGUAGCCGAUGGGAAUCAGGUUAAUAUUCCUGAACCUGCGUCAGAUGCGAUGGGGGGACGGAGCAUGAAAGAUCAUCCGGGUGUUGGAUGUCCCGGUUGACGAGCGUAGGAGGUCUGCAGGCAAAUCCGCAGACGCAUCUCCAAGGCGAAGUCACGUGCCGCCACGGCGGCGAAGUGAUCGGAAGUGCUUCCAAGAAAAGCCUCUAAGCACCAGUCUGACGCGGACCGUACCGCAAACCGACACUGGUGGGCGAGCUGAAUAUGCUCAGGCGCUUGAGAGAACUCGGGAGAAGGAACUCGGCAAAUUGACACCGUAACUUCGGAAGAAGGUGUGCCGUAGUACCGUGAGAGGAGAGACACCUUGAGCGGGAAUCGGUCUCAGAGAAUAGGUGGCUGCGACUGUUUAUUAAAAACACAGCACUCUGCAAAGUCGAAAGACGACGUAUAGGGUGUGAUGCCUGCCCGGUGCUGGAAGAUUAAUUGAUGGGGUGAGAGCCCUUGAUCGAAGUCCCAGUAAACGGCGGCCGUAACUAUAACGGUCCUAAGGUAGCGAAAUUCCUUGUC
Molecule: ribosomal RNA, 1902 nt
Filed under: human gut metagenome
Description: bacterial LSU rRNA
Rfam family: Bacterial large subunit ribosomal RNA
Source: RNAcentral